AACGAACGCUGGCGGCGCGCCUAAUACAUGCAAGUCGAGCGAGAAGACGUAGCAAUACGUUUGUAAAGCGGCGAACGGGUGAGGAAUACAUGGGCAACCUACCCUCGAGUGGGGAAUAACUAGCCGAAAGGUUAGCUAAUACCGCGUACGCUCCUUGGACUUCGGUUCAGGGAGGAAAGCGAUACCGUGGGUAUCGCGCUCUUGGAUGGGCUCAUGUCCUAUCAGCUUGUUGGUGAGGUAACGGCUCACCAAGGCUUCGACGGGUAGCUGGUCUGAGAGGACGAUCAGCCACACUGGCACUGCGACACGGGCCAGACUCCUACGGGAGGCAGCAGUAAGGAAUAUUGCGCAAUGGGCGAAAGCCUGACGCAGCGACGCCGCGUGGGGGGAGUGAAGGGU
This 399-nucleotide ribosomal RNA is filed under the name uncultured bacterium. RNAcentral's name for it is "bacterial SSU rRNA". It matches the Rfam family "Bacterial small subunit ribosomal RNA", at positions 29 to 416 of the family's 1533-position model. The record is from RNAcentral.